AUUCUCAUACUAGAGCUAUUGAGAUUAAUAUCAAAGUUCACGUAUUUUAAUUAUCAUAUUUUUAGAUUAUUAAGCAUAUAUUUUCAUUUUAACAUUUUAUUUUCAUAUUCACGUCACGCCGCGCCGUGUAUACAUUUACGAAUGAACCCAUAUUGAUUUUGAUGCGAACAUUUGAAUUAUAAAAUGUCUUUACGGUACUUACUGAUAUCAUUACCUGUUUUACCAGCUUAUCUGAUAUUCUUGAUGUGCUUAGUAAUUUACAAAUAUAUAAUAUUUGCAAUAUUAAAGAUGAAGUAUAAUAAAAACCUAAGUCCCAUUGAGAGCAUCGAUUCUUUUUUUACUUUGGGUGAGUUUCAAGAUAAUUUCUCUAAUAUUUUAAUUACUAUGGAAACUGAUAUAAAAGAAAAAAGUUUACAAGAAAGGAUAAUAAAACAUUUUGAAAGAACAAUUAUAAAAAAUACCAACCAUUUCAGAAAAAUUCAUAGCUCUGUACACAGCUAUAUGGGUUUCUCAUUUUUAUUAAGAGAAGAAAUUCAAGCAGCUGAUUUUGUGAAUAUUAUAGAUGUGAAUGAAGAUAGUUAUGAAUAUUUGAACCAUUUUAUAUAUGAAUAUUGUAUGAAACCACUACCUAAACAUAAUAAGUUACUUAUGGACGCGACUAUUCUAAAAUGUAGUAACAAUUGGAAAAUGAAGAAUAACUUUAGAAUAGAUCAAAUACCUGUACUGUUUAGAAUUCAUCAUAUUUUGGGUGACGGUUUAUCAAUAAUGAAUCUGUUUAUUCAACUAUUCGGUGAUGAUAAAUUAGUGAUAGAUGAAGUUAUUGGAGAAUUUCAUAAUAGGCAUAAAUACAACAAUUUCUGGAUGAGAUUAUUGGAAGACGUUUAUUCCUUUCUAAUAUUACCUGGUUUCAUGAUUUGUGAAGUAAUAAGACGAUGCAUGAAUAAUAGAGUGUUCAUUGGUAGCACCGGAUCUGGUAAACAAUAUUUUGCCAAGAAAGUUGGAGAUGAUACAAUGUCCUUACAGAAAAUUAAAGCUUUGAAAAAGAAAAUUGGGAACUGUCGAUUCACAGAAAUUUUAAUUACAGCCAUUUCGGCUAGUUUAUGUGACUAUUUUAGAAAGAAAAAUGGUGUAAUUCCUAAAACAGUAGCAGCCGUUGAGGCCGUAGUCCAAGAAAUGGUAAACUUAAACAAAAAUGGUCUACCAGAAUUGAAAAAUCAAUUUAAAUUUUUUCCAUUUGAAAUUCCAAUUGAGAUCGGAAGUGACUCAAUGUUGAAGAGAUUAAACGCUGUUAGAAAAUAUACAAGAUCACCAGACUCGACAGUAAUUUUCAUGGUUAGUGUAAAAUAUUUUUAUGUAACUAUUACAGCAUAGUGCGUAAUUAGUGAGCAUGUUAUUUGUUUCUCCCCUUAUAAACAAUUAUGAUGAAUUAUCAAAUACAAAAAUAGCAGUUGAAUUACUUGCUAUGCUACCAGGCGAUAAUGCAACGCGUCGUAAUGGAAUUCCGAAUAACCUCAACAGAUAUCCCAAAGAAAGUAAUCUGAGUGUUUUGGUGGUCAUACCAUAUCGUCUAAUCAAGUUUGCCGCAAAUAGUAUCAAAAUAAAAGGGAGCGCCUAUUAACUACUUAAUUUAAAUAAAAUGUAGCUUCAUCUGAAAAUAGUAUAUUUAGUGGAAAUACGUUAUUCCCAUCACAGCGACUCAUAAUUUACUCAAAAUUGUAUACACCUGUCAUAGUCAUCUUCCGAAAGCUUUUAGACAAGUUUUAGUAUUGUGCGCAUGCGCAAACAAAAUGACCGGCAGCAAUAGCUAUUUCUGAACGCUAUGCCGAGUGGUCUCAAGUUGCAUUCAGAGGGAGUUCUGUCGGUGAUUAUGUGUUGCGAAAACGAUUGUUGAGCGUUUAAAGAGCAAAGCAAAAUGUCUACUCUGCGAAGAAACUAUUGUUGUUAUGAAAGAGUACAAUAUACAGAAGGCAUUAUGAGAUAAAACAUGCUGCAAAAUACAACGAUUUUACUGGAAAUAUACGAAAAGACAAAGUGAAAGAAUUGAACGGUAAGUUAAAGUGUCAACAAAACUUUUUUCGCGAAGUAAAUAACGAGUCCAAAAUAUCAGUAAAAGCCACUUUUAUUGUGUCCAAGAUUUUUAUAACACUGAAACCGUUCUAAGAUGAGGAGCUGGUUGAAGGAUGUUUGAAAAAAGGGGCAAAAGUGGCAUUACCAGAGAAAAAAAUAUUACUUCGAAAAUUAGACUGCGUCUUAUGAUAGUAGCCAGGAAAGCAGAAAAAAUUGCCUUACAUAUUAAGAGUACUAUUCACUUGUAAUCGAUGAAAGUACUGAUACUUCUGACACUGCUCAGCUUUGUAUUUUUGUACGUGGAGUCCAUGAAAAUUUUGAAGUAAAAGAAGAACUUCUAGUUUUAGUUUCUAUGAAAAACUCAUCUAAAGUAUGUGAUAUUAAUCGUGAAGUAAACAACAUGCUGAUAAAGUUUAAUUAAACUACUACAUGGCAAAUAAUAGGGAGCAUAUAAUGAGGUUAGUAUUAAUGUAGUGAAUUUUCUUCGUGCCAGAGCUCUCAGUCAUUGUCAGUUGCGAGAAUUCUUAUCUCUCUUAGAUUCUCAGUAUGGCAAUGUUAUUUAUUCUACACAAGUUUGUUGGCUACGUGAGGGAAAAAUGCUAAAACGAGUAUAUGAUUUGCGAAAAGAAAUAAAACUCAACUCAACUAGCAAGCAGAUUUGGAAAACAAGGAGUGGGUAAAUAAUUUAUACUUUCUAAUUGAUAUAAUCCGACUUAAUGAGCUAAACACCAAGCUUCAAGGUGAAGAUAACAUGAUCAACAACAUGUUUUACACGGUAAAAUUAUUUGAUGUAAAACUAGGGCAGUCACAGCUUAAAACUGCUCUGCUGACAAAUUUUCCAACAAUUAACAAUCUUGCUGAACAUUUGGAAUCCAACGUUGAUGUGGUUAAAAAUGCUUCUCUUGUAGAGAAUUUUCAAAAUGAGUUUAAACAACGAUUUCAA
This is an RNA transcript of Diorhabda carinulata, 3010 nucleotides long. RefSeq lists it as uncharacterized. NCBI's taxonomy places the organism in Eukaryota, Metazoa, Arthropoda, Insecta, Coleoptera, Chrysomelidae. The record is from RefSeq and is a predicted model, not a curated record. The transcript is spliced from 5 exons.